RNAcentral lists this ribosomal RNA (483 nucleotides) under uncultured bacterium. RNAcentral describes it as "partial 16S ribosomal RNA". It matches the Rfam family "Bacterial small subunit ribosomal RNA", at positions 30 to 506 of the family's 1533-position model. The record is from RNAcentral.
AUUGAACGCUGGCGGCAGGCCUAACACAUGCAAGUCGAGCGGAUGAAGGGAGCUUGCUCCUGGAUUCAGCGGCGGACGGGUGAGUAAUGCCUAGGAAUCUGCCUGGUAGUGGGGGAUAACGUCCGGAAACGGGCGCUAAUACCGCAUACGUCCUGAGGGAGAAAGUGGGGGAUCUUCGGACCUCACGCUAUCAGAUGAGCCUAGGUCGGAUUAGCUAGUUGGUGGGGUAAAGGCCUACCAAGGCGACGAUCCGUAACUGGUCUGAGAGGAUGAUCAGUCACACUGGAACUGAGACACGGUCCAGACUCCCACGGGAGGCAGCAGUGGGGAAUAUUGCACAAUGGGCGAAAGCCUGAUCCAGCCAUGCCGCGUGUGUGAAGAAGGUCUUCGGAUUGUAAAGCACUUUAAGUUGGGAGGAAGGGCAGUAAGUUAAUACCUUGCUGUUUUGACGUUACCAACAGAAUAAGCACCGGCUAACUUCGU